This 1214-nucleotide ribosomal RNA is filed under the name Parcubacteria group bacterium GW2011_GWA1_47_11. RNAcentral describes it as "bacterial SSU rRNA". It matches the Rfam family "Bacterial small subunit ribosomal RNA", at positions 6 to 907 of the family's 1533-position model. The record is from RNAcentral.
GGAGGAUUUGAUCCUGGUCCAGGAUGAACGCUGGCGGCGUGGAUUAGGCAUGCAAGUCGAGCGCCUGACUUUCAUUGACCAAGCCAAUUUGGUAAGGUCGCCGAAAGUCGGGAGCGGCAAACGAGUUAGUAACACCUUGGAACCUACCCUGUACACGGGAAUAAGCCAUCGAAAGAUGGUCUAAUGCCCGAUAGUCUCGCAAGAGUAAAGCUCCGGCGGUACAGGAGGGGCCUAGGCCCGAUCAGCUUGUUGGUGAGGUAAUAGCUCACCAAGGCUACGACCGGUAGGGGAGGUGAGAGCCUGACCCUCAACGACGGAACUGAGAUACGGUCCGUACACCUACGGGUGGCUGCAGUCGAGAAUAUUCCACAAUGGGCGAAAGCCUGAUGGAGCGACGCCGCGUGCAGGAAGAAGGCCUUCGGGUUGUAAACUGCUUUUCUAGGGGAAGAAGUUUUGACGGUACCCUAGGAAUAAGGAAUGGCAAACUUCGUGAAUGACAUGGAUUAAGCUCCAUGUCAGCCAUUCAAGCAACGCUACAAAAUAGCGUUUUCGUAAUUACUGGCGCGACUUCUUAUGGAAACAUAAGAAUGCACAACUUGGCUUAUAUGCGGGAAGUCUAUGGAGGGCUGCGCUCCGACAAUAUCAGAGUUCCCUAUAGAUAAUCCGCAGGGAAGUCGGUAGUGGUAAAACUACUUGACCCCUCAGAGACUGAGCUCGUAAGAGCGAGAUAGAGACUUUUCUCUAUAACACGCCAAGCACCCUACGGGGUGAUGAUAUAGUCCGAUCCUUACAGCGAUGUAAGUAAAUAAUUGGCCAGCAGCAGCGGUAAUACGAAGAUUCCAAGCGUUAUCCGAAUUUAUUGGGCGUAAAGCGUACGUAGGGGGCCUGAUGCGUCCGCCGUUAAAUCUCACUGCCUAACAGUGAGGCCGCGGUGGAUACGAUUAGGCUAGAGGAUGCGAGAGGUCUGUGGAACGCACGGUGUAGGGGUGAUAUCCGUUGAUAUCGUGCGGAACACCAAAGGCGAAGGCAGCAGACUGGCGUACUCCUGACCCUCAGGUACGAAAGCGUGGGUCGCGAAUGGGAUUAGAUACCCCAGUAGUCCACGCCGUAAACUUUGUCGACUAGCUGUUUCGAGUAUCGACCCUCGGAGUGGCGCAGCUAACGCGUUAAGUCGACCGCCUGGGAAGUACGAGCGCAAGCUUAAAACUCAAAGG